Molecule: ribosomal RNA, 467 nt
Filed under: uncultured bacterium
Lineage: Bacteria
Description: partial 16S ribosomal RNA
Rfam family: Bacterial small subunit ribosomal RNA
Source: RNAcentral
GACGAACGCUGGCGGCGUGCUUAACACAUGCAAGUCGAACGAUGACGACCGAGCUUGCUCGGUCUGAUUAGUGGCGAACGGGUGAGUAACACGUGAGCAACCUGCCCUUCACUCUGGGAUAACCUCGGGACAUCGGGGCUAAUACCGGAUAUGAGCUCCUGUCGCAUGGCGGGUGUUGGAAAGUUUUUCGGUGUAGGAUGGGCUCGCGGCCUAUCAGUUUGUUGGUGGGGUAGUGGCUCACCAAGGCGAUGACGGGUAGCCGGCCUGAGCGGGGGACCGGCCACACUGGGACUGAGACAAGGCCCAGACUCCUACGGGAGGCAGGAGUGGAGAAUAUUGCACAGUGGGCGAAAGCCUGAUGCAGCGACGCCGCGUGGGGGAUGACGGCCUUCGGGUUGUAAACCUCUUUCAGCAGGGAAGAAGCGAAAGUGACGGUACCUGCAGAAGAAGCGCCGGCUAACUACGUG